UGUAUUCGUGGAAGGACAGGAAACAAUGAAAAAUUGGUCACAGAAAGACAAGCAAAAAUGUAGCCAAAUGAAAUGAAUUGCCGCUACAGAAAGUUAUUUUGUCGGUAAGCUACCUUUCUAAGUUCUCACGAAGCUGAGAAACAAGUACACCAGAAUUUUCAAUCUUUUUUACCAAGUCAUCAUUUCUUUUUAGGAGGUCUUCAUUUCUCCUUAUUAGAUCAUCAUUUCUUCCAUGAGCCUCAGUACGUGCACUUUUUAUACCAUUGCCUUCUUGUUUCUCCAUUACAAAGUUAGACAAUCUUGAUAUGGCAUCUACUUGAAGCCUAAUUCGUAAAGACAUUAGUCACCAAAAGGAUGAUAUAAUGAUCAGUAAUUUGAUGGCACAGUAGUUGACAAUUAGAGAAAAGUAAAUUAAGAUACCAACUUCUGCACAGUAUCUUGAAGCUGGUGGGCCCUGUAUUCGCUAUCCCUAACUUUCUUAAAUAACACCUCAUUUCUCUCCUGAGCUUCAACAAGGGACCUCCUGAUUGCUUCAUUUUCUUGUCUUUCAGCUUCCAAAGAAGCUGUCAUAUCCUCCUUAACCCUGUUUUGGGAUAAAAACAACAGUUGCAACUUCACAAUGCAGAUUAGUAAUAAUGGAAAACAUGAAGAACUAUUAGAGUUAAGCAUACAAAUGAGGAAAUGAAUAAAACCUAGGUUUUGUGUGAUGCAUGCUGCAUAUCCCUAGUUGAUGAAAAGUCUUAAUCUAUCUCAGAUACUCACAAAUGCACUUCUAUGUUUAUUUUCUGCUGUUAUCAUUCUUUCAACUUUGAUAGGCUUGCAACACUGAAAGAUAAUCUGCAUGCAUGUGGCACAUAUCUGCCAUCAAUGUCUCGCUCUCUCUGCAUAUAUAUCUUUCCAGAACAUGUGAUCUUGAUUCAUUUUAGUGUUAUGCAAAAAAGGUAGUGGGACAUAAGAGUGUAUGAUCCUGACAAUAUGUCAUACUACAUUUAGUAUAGAAAGACAUCUAGGUGCUAUAUUAACAGCAUGUGAGGAUAAAAAAGUCUGGUUUUUAGUAUGGAACCACAUGCCUUGUACCACUGAUCUUGAGACAUGGGAAGAAAUUCCAAAAAAAAAAACAAUGAAUUUUUUUUUGAAGGGGGGGGGGGGUUCACAUGCUGACAAGGGAGAACUAUAGGAGCGUACUUGUAAUAUAAUAUACAUAAAGCUUUAUUGAAGGUACAUACGAAUUUAUAGUGUUUUGAAGAUGCUCAGCUUUUUUGUUGGCUUCUUCUGCUUUCAUCAGUAACUCUUCAUUUUUGUAUUCACUCUCAGUGAGUGCUUUCUUCAGUGCAUCCUUCUCAUGUCUCUCAGAUAUCAGCAAAGUGUCUUUCGCUGUAUUAUCACCAAGCCUGAAAUUGAUCACCAGUUAUUAUGUCAAGUACAUCUACAUUUACGUAAGCACACUCACUAACUAUAUGUAAGCAUUCCCAGAGCCAAGCACAGCUUAAUAAAAACAAUAGAUGUAUAAAGUACCUUUGUAUGCUGCCUUGAAGAAGACCAAUUUUUUUGUCAACGUCCUCAAGCUUCUUUAGUAACUGCAAAAUUCUUUCUUGACUUUCAGCUUGUGCCUUCAUGGUUGCACUGUUUUGUUCUCGUUCUCUCAACAGUAAAACCUCUGUAGCAGAUGCGUUUUCCUGAAGCCUAGUCUCAGGUAGAAAUAUGGAGUUGAUUCAAAAGUUAAAACAGAUAAUCUUCUGAUAGAAUUUAUGCCCCUAGAGGUUGUUAAGCAGACAAUAAGGAACGAUUAUGGAC
Molecule: long non-coding RNA, 1794 nt
Filed under: Setaria italica (foxtail millet)
Lineage: Eukaryota; Viridiplantae; Streptophyta; Magnoliopsida; Poales; Poaceae
Description: long non-coding RNA (SITA_LNC001993)
Source: RNAcentral